CAAGGAAACGGUGCCCUUGGGCCCGAUUCUCCAACCACUGCGUACCAAGCUUUAUGUUGCCUCGGCGGGCGUUUCCACCCUCCACUCACGUGGACGGCAGUCUGCCCGCCGAAGGACCCUUUAAACCUGUUUUUUGCAAGGCGAACGUCUGAAUAAACAUCGCAAAUGCGAAAGUA
RNAcentral lists this unclassified non-coding RNA (176 nucleotides) under uncultured Dothideomycetes. RNAcentral describes it as "sequence contains ITS1". The record is from RNAcentral. Lineage: Eukaryota; Fungi; Ascomycota; Dothideomycetes.